UAACAGAUUUACCUCGGUAAUGACGUUAGGAAAGCGAGCGGCGGAUGGGUGAGUAACACGUGGGGAAUCUGCCCCAUAGUCUGGGAUACCACUUGGAAACAGGUGCUAAUACCGGAUAAGAAAGCAGAUCGCAUGAUCAGCUUUUAGAAGGCGGCGUAAGCUGUCGCUAUGGGAUGGCCCCGCGGUGCAUUAGCUAGUUGGUAAGGUAAAGGCUUACCAAGGCGAUGAUGCAUAGCCGAGUUGAGAGACUGAUCGGCCACAUUGGGACUGAGACACGGCCCAAACUCCUACGGGAGGCAGCAGUAGGGAAUCUUCCACAAUGGACGCAAGUCUGAUGGAGCAACGCCGCGUGAGUGAAGAAGGUUUUCGGAUCGUAAAGCUCUGUUGUUGGUGAAGAAGGAUAGAGGUAGUAACUGGCCUUUAUUUGACGGUAAUCAACCAGAAAGUCACGACUAACUACGUGCCAGCAGCCGCGGUAAUACGUAGGUGGCAAGCGUUGUCCGGAUUUAUUGGGCGUAAAGCGAGCGCAGGCGGAAGAAUAAGUCUGAUGUGAAAGCCCUCGGCUUAACCGAGGAACUGCAUCGGAAACUGUUUUUCUUGAGUGCAGAAGAGGAGAGUGGAACUCCAUGUGUAGCGGUGGAAUGCGUAGAUAUAUGGAAGAACACCAGUGGCGAAGGCGGCUCUCUGGUCUGCAACUGACGCUGAGGCUCGAAAGCAUGGGUAGCGAACAGGAUUAGAUACCCUGGUAGUCCAUGCCGUANACGAUGAGUGCUAAGUGUUGGGAGGUUUCCGCCUCUCAGUGCUGCAGCUAACGCAUUAAGCACUCCGCC
Molecule: ribosomal RNA, 830 nt
Filed under: uncultured bacterium
Lineage: Bacteria
Description: bacterial SSU rRNA
Rfam family: Bacterial small subunit ribosomal RNA
Source: RNAcentral